CUUGAAAGUAAAUUUUUUUUUCCAAAAAUGAAGAAAUCUUUUAUACAGCAUUUAGGCAAAUAGAAAGGCUUACAUCACCUAUAUAAUGGUGGUUUACAACAUCUUUUUUUCUAAAAAAAAAAAACAAUUCUAAGAUGAUUAUUUGAACAAAGUAGAUGCUUUACAUAUUACUUUGUUCCGUUAUCUUCGAACUAACAUCUGGGCAGCAUCAUGAAUUGCGGACAGAAACAAGAAAUCUGUUGAACAGAUAGAGAAAAUGAAUAUGUCAGAGAACAUGAAGUAUAUUUGGAACUCUCGUAAUAGAGUUUUGUUUAGUAACAAUUGUACUUAGAAUAAACAAAAAUUUUUAUUUGUAACAAAAGCGAAAUCCCCGCCUUUCAAAAUCUAGAUUUAAAUUACAUAGAAAACCUUUCGGGUCAUUCAAAUGCCAAAAAAUAUAAUAUAUUAAAAUUGCCACUUGCACAUAAAAUUUAGAAAACUGCACAAUACUUUGAAUUCCUUCUUAUUCUCUUAAAAUUUAUAUUAAGAUUUAAAUUUUUCAAAAACUAAUUAUAAUAAAAUAAGUCUUUGGAUUAAAGAUAUAAAAGUAAUGAAAAAAGAAUUUGAAGCUUACAUACCAUCUGGACGCUAACGUACAAGCUAGGUGGGAUCAGACUUUGAGCCUUAUGAGAAAUUGCUGUAUUCACACCAGUAUCACCAUCAUGGCCAUCACCAGGAUUAGGACCAAUUGAUGCUUCAUUCUCCCUACUAAUAUUGAAAAUGUAGAAGAAGGACAUGCCUCUGUUAGUUAUGGAUCUAUAUGAAACAUUUGAGGAACUAUUAACUAU
RNAcentral lists this long non-coding RNA (827 nucleotides) under Elaeis guineensis (African oil palm). Its description in RNAcentral is "long non-coding RNA (EGUI_LNC036396)". Lineage: Eukaryota; Viridiplantae; Streptophyta; Magnoliopsida; Arecales; Arecaceae. The record is from RNAcentral.